This 3253-nucleotide long non-coding RNA is filed under the name Homo sapiens (human). RNAcentral's name for it is "non-protein coding lnc-INTS9-2:1". The record is from RNAcentral. Lineage: Eukaryota; Metazoa; Chordata; Mammalia; Primates; Hominidae.
GCCAGAGAUUCAGAGAGGGAGGGAGGGACCAAUAGGUGCAGCACAGGAAGUUUUUAGGGGAGUGAGACUGUUCUGUGUGAGACUGUAAUGGUGAAUAUAUAUCAUUACAUAUUUGUCAAAACCCAUAGAACAUACAACACAAUGAAUGAAGCCUAAUGUAAACCCAUGGGCUUGAGUGAAUAAUGUGUCAACACUGGCUCAUCAAUUGUAUCAAAUCUAUCACACUAAUGGCAGAUGUUAAUAAAGGACAAGUGAGGGGUGAGGUGGAAGAAGAAGUCUCUUUGUACUUCUCAUGCAGUUUUGCUGUAAAUCUGAAACUGCUCCCCCCGAAAUCUAUUAAAAAUGUAGGAAGAAAAGAAAGCAAUUCAAAAAAGGACAAUCCAGUUUUUCUUAAUGGGCAAAAGAUGUGUACAGAUAAUUCACAAAGGAAAUAUAUAUAAAUGGCGUAAACACAUGAAAAGGUGCUUAAAUCACCAGUCAUCAGGAAAACGCAGAAUGAAAUAAGACACCAUUACUCACCAGAAUGGCUAAAAUUAAAAAGACUGACCAGACCAUGGAUCAGUGAGGAUGUGGAACUGGGAGUCUCAUAAUUACUGGUGGAAGUACAAAAUGGAAUGAUCGCAUUGAGAAAAGGUCUAGAAGUUUCUUACAAAACUAAACAUGUAUACAUCUACCAUAUUACCCAACAAUUCCACUCCUAGGUAUUUACCCAAGAGAAAUAAAAAUCCACAGAAAGACUUGCACAUGAAUGUUCACGGAAACUUUAUUCAUAAUAUCCAAAAACUGGAAAAAGCCCCAGUACCUAUAUAAUAGAACGGACAGAUUUUACUCAAUUCAUACAAGGGAAUACUAAGCAAUAAAAAGUAACUAAUCACCAAUCUAUUCAGCAACGAUGGAUGCAUCUCCAAAACGUUAUGCUGGGUGUGUAGAAGACGGACACACACAAGAGUAGAAAUUAUAGGACACCAUUUAUAUGAAAUUCUAGAAUAUGGAAAACUAAUCCAAAAUGAAAAAAACCAUCAGCAUUGGCUAUGUCUGAGGAUGGAGGACGUGGGGACUGACUAGGAGGAAGGAGCAGGAGGGGACUUUCUGGGUUGAUAGUAGUGUUCCAUAUAUUGAGAGGGGUCUGGGUUACACAGGUGUGUGCAUUUGUCAGAACUCAAAAGAAUGCACACUGAAGAUGUGUGCAUUACAGUGUGCACGUUUAAAAUAAAGUUUACAUUAAAAACACAAACAUUGACCUAUAAUGAACAGUUGUAUGCCCAUGUAUUUAGAAGGAAAUGCAUUGAUGUUGCCACUUUACUCAGAAAUGUACCUCAACAGUGCACCAUGAAAGGAUGAAUGGCAGGAUGGGUGAAGGGACGGGGCAUGGGUAGAUGGGACGCUCCAAGGCGGGUCCAGUAAAAUGACAUAGACAUUUAUGCCCUAGAAAUGAUUUCAACAUUGCCGUAUGUUUGAAAUGUGGGACCAGUCGUUUAAAUCAAUAGAAUGUAAGUAGUUUCAAUGCUAACAUGACAGUCCUACAACAGGACCAGCAGCUGUACUUUUUUUUUAUUUUUAUGAGACGGAGUUUCUUGUUGCCCAGGCUAGAGUGCAAUGGCGCAAAUCACAGCUCACUGCAACCUCCGCCUCCUGGGUUCAAGCAAUUCUCCUGCCUCAGCCUCCUGAGUAGCUGGGAUUACAGGCACGUGCCACCACACCUGGCUAAUUUUUGUAUUUUUAGUAGAGAAGGGGUUUCGCCAUUUUGGCCAGGCUGGUCUCAAACUCCUGACCUCAGGUGAUCCACCCGCCUUGGCCUCCCCAGGUGCUGGGAUUACAGGCGUGAACCACCGCACCCAGCCUGUACUCUUUCAUAAACGUCAAGACAGAUGAAGAAAGGUAAAACAAUUUGCCUAAGCUGUGAUUUCUAAGUGACCCUCUUCACUUUGUCAAAGCAUUCAUUCAUGAGAAAACUAUGGAACUCCUGUGUUCUUGAGAGGCUGCAGUCCGGUGUGGGAGGCAGAGCAGUGGCCAGCACACAGCAUGGUGAGGCGACAGAGCGUGGGGGCUCUAAUAGGAGGUGAGCAGGGCACUCAGCCAGGCGCUGGCGCUCAAACCUAGCGGAAGGCAGAAAGAGCCAUGAAGAAGUGGACACUAUUUUACUCCAGUAAUAGUUCAUUUUUAUUGUGUCAAACAGUGGACUUAAGUCUCACCCAUUCUUAGGACUGUCAGUGUGACCAAAGCUGCCACCUGCAGAGCCCAGGAGAGGAGUCCUCGCCUUUACCCCCUUUCCCAUCUCCAUCCUUCUCCCCGAAGCCCACAGCUCAGUGCCCUCUCCUGAGGAAGCCUCUGAUCCCACAGCCAAGCACAAGAUCUAGGCCUGUGGGCACCAACAGGAUGGGGCUCUGCAGUCAGGGAGCGUCAGCUCGGUGCAGGUACAGGUGCCUUAGUGACCUAUAGGUCAGGGGCAUGACCUAUGGACCGAAUCGAGCCAUUCACAGUGAGGCCUCACCUGUCCUGGGAUCGCAGGCACACACAGCUCCCCACAACCACUACACACACACACACACACACACACACACGCAUUUUAAAUUCCCAUGAAAAAAUUAACUUUGCAUAUAUGGGCCACAUGCCCUUCCACAUCCUGCUUAAAGCACCUCAACAGCCCCUAAGUUCCUGUUUUGUCAAAAUGACUUGCCCUGGAACCGGGCACAGGCAAGGCUGCUUAAGACUGCAUCCCCAAUAUAUUUGUAAAUAUAUAACUGUGUUACAUAAUAAAACAUGCAAAAAAUUUAAAAAGAAUGAAGCAACUAUAAUAUUAACUGAAGUCUGGACAUUUACUUAUUUAACCAAUAUCGUGGAUCACAGUUUACAUGGAAGAUUCCAGGUAACUCAAUCUAAGAAAAAUAUUCGUUUUAUGCUUAGUAACAAUGAGGAAAAUCCUUGAUAGCUGCCAAGAACCUAUAUCACCCCAGAGAACCAAGACGUUCACUUGCAUUUCGGCUUCCUUACCACCUAAGCCAUCUGUUUUCUCAAAACUUUACAGGUGACUUUUCAAUCUCUUAUCCUGAAUGAAGCCUAUUUAUAUUCUGUGUUCUCCUUGCAAAAGUAGUACAUUAUUCAAAGAAAUAAUAUGACAUUAACUCCCCAUUCGUUAGUCAAUAUUAAGAUAUUAACAUUAUUGAAAGAACACUGCCAAUCAUACGAAGCAGUCAAACCUCCCUAACUCAAACAAGGAAUAGUUUGACAGUAAAAAUUUGAGGUAUUUAAAGCA